Molecule: ribosomal RNA, 253 nt
Filed under: uncultured bacterium
Lineage: Bacteria
Description: partial 16S ribosomal RNA
Rfam family: Bacterial small subunit ribosomal RNA
Source: RNAcentral
UACGUAGGGUGCGAGCGUUAAUCGGAAUUACUGGGCGUAAAGCGUGCGCAGGCGGUUUUAUAAGUCAGAUGUGAAAUCCCCGGGCUUAACCUGGGAACUGCGUUUGAAACUGGAAGGCUAGAGUGUGGCAGAGGGGGGUGGAAUUCCACGUGUAGCAGUGAAAUGCGUAGAUAUGUGGAGGAACACCGAUGGCGAAGGCAGCCCCCUGGGCUAACACUGACGCUCAUGCACGAAAGCGUGGGGAGCAAACAGG